This 501-nucleotide ribosomal RNA is filed under the name uncultured bacterium. RNAcentral's name for it is "partial 16S ribosomal RNA". It matches the Rfam family "Bacterial small subunit ribosomal RNA", at positions 30 to 523 of the family's 1533-position model. The record is from RNAcentral.
AUUGAACGCUGGCGGCAGGCUUAACACAUGCAAGUCGAGCGGGGGGAGGUAGCUUGCUACCGGACCUAGCGGCGGACGGGUGAGUAAUGCUUAGGAGUCCGCCUAUUAGUGGGGGACAACAUCUCGAAAGGGAUGCUAAUACCGCAUACGUCCUACGGGAGAAAGCAGGGGAUCUUCGGACCUUGCGCUAAUAGAUGAGCCUAAGUCGGAUUAGCUAGUUGGUGGGGUAAAGGCCUACCAAGGCGACGAUCUGUAGCGGGUCUGAGAGGAUGAUCAGCCACACUGGGACUGGGACACGGCCCAGACUCCUACGGGAGGCAGCAGUGGGGAAUAUUGGACAAUGGGGGGAACCCUGAUCCAGCCAUGCCGCGUGUGUGAAGAAGGCCUUAUGGUUGUAAAGCACUUUAAGCGAGGAGGAGGCUACUUUAGUUAAUACCUAGAGAUAGUGGACGUUACUCGCAGAAUAAGCACCGGCUAACUCUGUGCCAGCCGCCGCCGUAA